This 253-nucleotide ribosomal RNA is filed under the name uncultured bacterium. Its description in RNAcentral is "partial 16S ribosomal RNA". It matches the Rfam family "Bacterial small subunit ribosomal RNA", at positions 524 to 776 of the family's 1533-position model. The record is from RNAcentral.
UACGUAGGGUGCAAGCGUUAUCCGGAUUCACUGGGUUUAAAGGGUGCGUAGGUGGGUUGGUAAGUCAGUGGUGAAAUCUCCAGGCUUAACUUGGAAACUGCCAUUGAUACUAUCAAUCUUGAAUACCGUGGAGGUCAGCGGAAUAUGUCAUGUAGCGGUGAAAUGCUUAGAUAUGACAUAGAACACCAAUUGCGAAGGCAGCUGGCUACACGAAUAUUGACACUGAUGCACGAAAGCGUGGGGAUCAAACAGG